Molecule: long non-coding RNA, 239 nt
Organism: Haemorhous mexicanus (house finch)
Lineage: Eukaryota; Metazoa; Chordata; Aves; Passeriformes; Fringillidae
Exons: 3
Source: RefSeq, a predicted model, not a curated record
CCCCAUCUGACCCCCCCCCGUGCCCCCCCAGGACCCCCUGGGGUUUGGGGACCCCCAGCAGGACGGGCCGGGGGAGGCGCAGGGGAGGGCUGAGCCCCCCCCUCUGGAGCCACCUGCCCACCAGUGCCCCCCCCAAGCCGCUGGCCCCGGGGCAGCCCUGGCUCGAGCCCCUCCCCCCGUUUGAGGACGCCGCCAGCCCCGAGCCCAGCCCCUCGGACAGCGGCGUGGAGCUGGGGGGG